UAUAUGCGUAUAUUAUAUUGCGUUCCUUUAUAUGCAGUAAUCGUAGAAGCAUUAAAAGAAGAAUUUGCUUUGUUACCUAUCAUUGAAAUGUCAAUGUUCAAUUGUAUUAUAAAUAUCUUCAUAGUUAAGUUUAAAAUAAGUAUCUAUUAAGAUUGUUUGAAAACUUUUUAUUAAAUCAUAUUUUGUAGACUUACUUUGAUUUAUAACAUUAUUCAAUUGAUUACUUAUAAGUUAUCUUUAGAAUAAUAAAAAAAUAAUCGAGAUAAAAUAUUAUCUAUAUACAUCGGUAUCUUAUUUGUUUUGCUAGUAAAAGGCAAUGUGCGCUACGCAUGAGAAUGUCCGAAUAAUCAACGAUAUCAGAUAUUUAAAUAUCGUAGUGAUAAAUUAUGACAUGUUUAGAUAGACUUUAACAUGCAGUAUGUUAUCAAAUCAUGUAGGUUGAGGAUGUGUUAGGCGUCGCUCUGUUAUUGCUAUAUUGUACAACACUAAGGUAGGUCCGGUACGCAUAAAAAAAAUUAAAUGUCAGUGUCAAACUUACGUCGUCGUACGUUUCCCAGUGCAAAUAUGUGAUACACUUGUUGAGGUAUUUAUACGGGAAUCAGAAUUAAUUUAACUUUUAUUUGGAUUUAUAUAAAAUUUUGCCUAAUUUAUUAUGAUUAGUGUUGUGAAAAUGGUGUAUUAAAGUGAUAGUGUUAGUGGAUUACUUUAAAAAUAAAUAGUGAUGAAAGUUAAGUUUUUGAAAAAGUCAAAAGUUUUCUAUAAAGACAGGACUAGAAAACUUCUUAAAAUUUACAUUGAUUAUAUAAUAAUAAAGUUAUCGCUUUCCUGAUUUCUAUAGUUUAGUGCAAAAUAUUUCACAAAUUUAAAAAUUAUUUUAAUGUGUUCAGACAGUGUUUCAUAUAGGUAUUAGGUCUAGUUUUUUUUAUAAUUUUGCUUUUUAAAGCAAACAGAAUUGACUCUUAUUUUGUAUUUAUACUUUCUUAAUUGUAAAUUUUUAGCUUUAAUUAGUUUCUAGACUCUUAAUUUAUAAUUUACCAUAAUUUUUGUGAUAAAUUUGUAAUUUUAUUCUUUUUAAAAUAUGUAUUGUUUUAUAAUAAUAUGGUGUCUAUAUUGUAGCUGUUCUCAAAAAUAAUAAAAUAUAAUUUUAAUAAAAUAUUAAAUGCAUAAUGUUACUUUAGUUAUUACUGUAUAGACAGUGUUUUCUAUUUUAGACCAUUUGUGGCCAAUCAUAUUGAGUAGCAAAAAAUAAUAGGUGUUUGCCCUGAAUAAUGUCACACACCUCACAUUUCUCUAAAAUCAGUAUUGUUUACUGUUAAUAUAUUUGUAAAUGUGUAUUUUGACCUCUUUUACAGGAAACAAUACAGAAACUACAUGCAGUACCAAACUAUUAAAUUAUUCAACAAGAUUAUUUGUUUCAUUUAUUUUCCUUCCUUAUUCUAUCAUUAGCAAUAAUUAAUUUUAAUCAAUCAUACCUCGUUUUAAUAUGCAUGUUGUAACUCAUAUUUAUUUAUGUUCCCAGGCAUAUUUAUAAAUACAAGAGGAAACUCCAAAUUGUUCAUUUAUCAAAAUCACACAUUUCGAUUUAUGUAUAAAAAGGCGUAUGGCAGCCAAUUAUGGUAUUGCUGGUACUUCUUCAGUAGGUGUUGCCCUGCGAAGUUGAGGAUAAACAAUGCUGGGAAUGUUACUGAAUGUAUUGGACGACACAACCAUGAACCACCGACAUGUUGGAUGACUCCUGAUGGCAAGACCUACAGUUUGCCACCAUUGCCAGAUAGAAGUGCUCCAUAACAGCAGUGUAAUAUGUAUCAAUUAAAAGUAUUCCGAAACAUUGUGUUUCACUUUGUUGUGUGUAAACCUGACUGCCUCUUUCCGUAAUUGAGAUUUUAAGGCUUAAUUGCCUGCUCGGAUUGUUCAGCAGCUGUAAGAUGUAUUCAAGUUAAAUGAAACUGUAUAAGUAAUUGUGAAACAUAUAUUAAGUUUUGUAAAUAUUAAAAUUUAGGUUUCAAUAUUAUGACAAUAUUGAAAGUAAUUAAUUUUAAUUUGAUGUUACACUUGUAUCUCAUGUUAAAAAUAUUAAUUGUUAACAAAAUUCGUUUUUUUUUUUCCAUUUGUUAUCAUUAAAAUUAUUAUAUUUACUGUUAAUAUUGUGACCAUUGUUUUAAAGAUUUUGAUUUAUGAACAAAAAUGUAAUUAUACAAGAAAAUUGUAUAAAUAUUACUUUUUUUAAUUUUGAUUGUACUUUUGAAAGCUUCAAGCCCAUUGUAAUUCCAAAUAUUAUAUCAUUUAUAUAUGUAUUAUUCGUUACUACACUACAGGCAAUAUGAGUCAAUUUUAUAAUUUUUAAGUAAAGAUUUUAUAAGUAUGUAAUUAUUAAAUUAAAAUUGCAAUUAUAUAUAUUUCAAAAAUUAAAUAUAUAUAAUUGCAAUUACUACUUCAUUAAGUGUCUCAGUGAAAUAUUUUAUAAUUUAAUAUAUGAAUUAUAUUUGUUAAAUAACUUUUAUUACAUGAAUUUAAAUAAUUUAGAGGUAAUAAAAGUAAAUACACCGAAAAUGUAUAAUUUUGCCUUUCUAUUAAUACCUCCUUAUAUUUUGUUUAUGCUACUUAGAACGCAAACAAGGGAACGGUUCACCCAAUGGAAUAGUAACCGUCCCCUAUAGACAAGAAUGACACCACGAAUAGCACAGAAUAUACUGUGCCGCCUAUCAGUAAGUAUAGCGACGGCGCCAAGAGCUUAAAAUACAUACAGAUGAUGUAAAAAUACAGAGCCAUUUGAAUAGAAGAAAUUCAAGAUGUGACGUUGUGCGCAACACGGGAAAAUCUAAUGGAGCUGCCAGAGAACGCAUCAAAAGGUUGUUGGGUUUAUUAAAGAAAUAACGAUAAUAUUAUAAACUUUAAUAAAAAUAUAAUCAGACGUUUAAAGAAGAUAUAUGUAAUACUGCUGGUUAACCAGAAAGAUAUUUUUCUAAAUGGCAACGCAAGAGUGUACUCGAGACUUUGUCGUAGACCGUCUCAUGGGUUGCCAUUAAAAAUAUAUUUAUGUCCUUUAAUUUACGUAUACAAUACAGUCGAUUGUGUGGUACCAUUUUUGUAAACAUAACUCUAAAAUUUUACUUUAAUAUCACAGGGAUAUCUUACGUAUAAGUAGAUAUUUAUAUAAACUAAAUUUCUAAUAGGUUAACAUUAAAAUAAUCAUAAAUUUAAUUUAUGAUGGUCUAUAAAAUAGUAAUAUUGCGAAAUUAUCAAUUUAAAAUAUUAGGUUAAAAAGUAUGUUGGGGGAAAUGGCGUUUUAGAAUAACAUAUUCGUGUUGACCAAUGUGAACAGUAUGUAAUACGGUAUCUAUAUCGUAUGGUGUAAAAUACACAUACAAUAAUGUUAUGUGCCUGAUUGUUACAUAUUUUAUGUAUAUUAAAAAGUAUUAGUGACGUCACGCAUUGCUAAGUCAGGCUGAGCUUUUUAUGUUUCUCAUUAAGAGUUAGGAAGAGUUAGGGACGUAUUAUUUUUUUAAUUAUAAUAAUAAUCAAUAUACAGUAAUAAAUAAUAUGCAGUAAUAGUUUUAAUUUAAAAAUAUUGUUUAGUAUUGUUUGUGAUGUUUUAAGUGGGAUGCUGUAAUUUUUAAAACCUAACUGCAAUUGCUACUUCGCCUGCCAAGCGUGGCAACUACUACCAAAAGCCCACUUAUGGGAGAGGCCUACGUUCAGUAGUGGACAGUUCUAUCUAUCUAUGUAUCAUAUAUUGAAACACUUUUCUCUUUUGUAGAUAUUUCCUACAAAAAAUAACGUAAAAUUAUUUCUUAUUUUUGUCGGUAUGAGUAAUAAUUGUUUCGUAAAAUAUAAUUAAGUGCGUGGUAAUGGUAAAAGUUUAAACUUAUUUAUUUAAAUUAAACAGAAGAACAAUAAUUAUAUCAGCCUUUAACUGUCCAUUGCUGAACAUAAGCCUCCCCCUUGGGGGGUUUGCCAGUAAUUGCCACGCUUGGCAGGCGGAUCGGCAACCGCAGUUAGGCUUUAGAGAUGUUUUAAGGACGCUGCUGGCCAUCCUUCGCCCUCCCUUAAUCGUCUCUUACGACACCCACGGGAAAGGAAGGGGUGGCCUAUUCUAUUCCGGGACCUACACGGCAACAAGAACAAUAUUAUUUGUUAAAUAUCUAAUUUACAUUUUUAUAGUUUAGCUGCAUAUAUUUGCAAAGUAGAGAUAAAUAUUGAAUAAAUAAAUCUUUUAACAACCAAA
Long non-coding RNA from Galleria mellonella (greater wax moth), 4225 nucleotides. RefSeq lists it as uncharacterized. NCBI's taxonomy places the organism in Eukaryota, Metazoa, Arthropoda, Insecta, Lepidoptera, Pyralidae. The transcript has 2 exons. The record is from RefSeq and is a predicted model, not a curated record.